This 479-nucleotide ribosomal RNA is filed under the name uncultured bacterium. Its description in RNAcentral is "bacterial SSU rRNA". It matches the Rfam family "Bacterial small subunit ribosomal RNA", at positions 28 to 507 of the family's 1533-position model. The record is from RNAcentral.
GAUGAACGCUGGCGGCGUGCCUAACACAUGCAAGUCGAACGGAACUUCUUCGACAGAAUUCUUCGGAAGGAAGUUGAUUAAGUUUAGUGGCGGACGGGUGAGUAACGCGUGAGUAACCUGCCUUUGAGAGGGGAAUAACUUCCCGAAAGGGAUGCUAAUACCGCAUGAUGCAUAGAAGUCGCAUGGCUUUAUGCCAAAGAUUUAUCGCUCAAAGAUGGACUCGCGUCCGAUUAGCCAGUUGGCGGGGUAACGGCCCACCAAAGCGACGAUCGGUAGCCGGACUGAGAGGUUGAACGGCCACAUUGGGACUGAGACACGGCCCAGACUCCUACGGGAGGCAGCAGUGGGGGAUAUUGCGCAAUGGGGAAACCCGUGACGCAGCAACGCCGCGUGAAGGAUGAAGGUUUUCGGAUUGUAAACUCUUUAUUUAGGUACGAAGAAUGACGGUACUAAAUGAAUAAGCUCCGGCUAACUACGUG